RNAcentral lists this ribosomal RNA (498 nucleotides) under Veillonella dispar. RNAcentral describes it as "bacterial SSU rRNA". It matches the Rfam family "Bacterial small subunit ribosomal RNA", at positions 28 to 496 of the family's 1533-position model. Lineage: Bacteria; Bacillati; Bacillota; Negativicutes; Veillonellales; Veillonellaceae. The record is from RNAcentral.
GACGAACGCUGGCGGCGUGCUUAACACAUGCAAGUCGAACGAAGAGCGAUGGAAGCUUGCUUCUAUCAAUCUUAGUGGCGAACGGGUGAGUAACGCGUAAUCAACCUGCCCUUCAGAGGGGGACAACAGUUGGAAACGACUGCUAAUACCGCAUACGAUCUGACCUCGGCAUCGAGGAUAGAUGAAAGGUGGCCUCUAUUUAUAAGCUAUCACUGAAGGAGGGGAUUGCGUCUGAUUAGCUAGUUGGAGGGGUAACGGCCCACCAAGGCGAUGAUCAGUAGCCGGUCUGAGAGGAUGAACGGCCACAUUGGGACUGAGACACGGCCCAGACUCCUACGGGAGGCAGCAGUGGGGAUCUUCCGCAAUGGACGAAAGUCUGACGGAGCAACGCCGCGUGAGUGAUGACGGCCUCCGGGUUGUAAAGCUCUGUUAAUCGGGACGAAAGGCCUUCUUGCGAAUAGUUAGAAGGAUUGACGGUACCGGAAUAGAAAGCCACGG